UUUUUUUUUUCUUGGUCACUCUCUCUCUGGCCCUGCCUGACGAUUUUUCUUGGUCACUCACUCUCUCUGGCCUUGCCUGACGACGAGUGAUGUUUCGUUUUCGCCCGAUGAAAAAAUGUUGCACAUAGUCUGUUUUUGGGUGCAGGAAUGUUGUCCAUGCUUCCAUCUCGAAUGACUAGACGUGGCAUUGUGUUUUGUGUGACUGGGUGCCCCUUUAGAGCAUCUACAACCGGAUCCUGCAAACCCGUCUUAAGUUUUUGGGUAGGUCGCUCGGUCACGAUUUUUUGACCCAGACGAGCCUUUCAAACGUUCGGGCUGACCGGCACCUCUCAUAUCCAGUCCAAAAAUAUGUGGUGAAUAUGGAACGCCCAGGCGCGUCCGAGCACGCCUGUCAUAUCGGACCCAACAACCCGACCCCACCCUAAAUUGCACCAAACCCCCCUUCCUACCCGAGCUACCGGAUCCAUUUGCUCUCUCCUCUCUUCUUCCUCCUUCGCGCCGUCCGGCUCGCAGAUCCACGCCGCGCCCGCUCCGCAGCCGUUCCUAGGCUCUCCGCCGCAAGCUUCGGAAGAGCGCUCCCGUCCUCGCCGCGGGGGACGUUGUCACCGGCCCGGACGCCACCGUGGUACGCCGGCAAAUCUCUGGCUCCGCCUUGUGCUUGAUGUGUUCGACACAUUGACCGACCGGAAUUAUUGUGAUUUUGCUAGGUAAACGAUGAAUUCCGAUGCUUCGUCAAACGAGGAGUAUGGACCGACGUAGCUUGAAUGAUUCAAUAUGAGUUCUUCGAUUCGUCGAAUUCAGACGAAGAAGUGGACAUGAUCAUGCUCAUGAGCAUGCAAGAGGAAAUGGACUGGCAAGUGGAGCAUAUUCUCAACUUAAGGGCUCAAUCAAAGGGAGAAGAGUGAACAACCGGGACAGGGUGUCCGGAGCAAAGCUGGACAAUGACUACUUUGCUCCCACAACUGCUUUCCUGGAUGAUCCAUGGUUUCGUUGCCAUUUUCGCAUGCGGAAACCAUUAUUUUUGCGUAUUAUGGAGGGAGUGGAGGCACACGAUGACUACUUUAAAGUGAGAAGGGAUUGUUGUGGGCUUGUGGCCAACUCUCUUUCUCAGCCAAGCAGAAGUGCACGGCUGCUCUGAGGAUGCUUGCACUUGGUACUGCUGUAGACGCCGAUGGUGAGAUGGUCAGGAUGGGGGGGAGAGCACGACUACUAUCAAAUUUGCUCGCACCGUGGUUGAGGUGUUUGGACUGGAAUAUCUCAGAGAACCAAAUGCGCAGGACACAAAAAAGUUGUUGACUAUUGAAGAGUCAAGGGGGUUUCCAAAAAUGCUCGGAUCAAUUGAUUGCAUGCAUUGGCAAUGAAAAAAUUGCCCCAAAGGUCUGCGGGGAAUGUAGGUUACACUAGAGAGGCCACCAUCAUACUAGAAGUGGUGGCAUCGUCACAUGACUUAUGGAUUUGGCAUGCUUUCUUUGGAAUGCCCGGUUCUCACAACGAAAUCAACGUGCUUCAACGAUCUCCAGUGUUCAGGAGGCUUUGCAAUGGGGAAUCACCGCCGUGCAACUACACCGUCAACGGCAGGGACUACACCAUGGGGUACUAUCUUGCCGAUGGUAUCAAUCCUCAGUGGCCGGCGUUUGUGAAGACCAUAUCCGAGCCACGUGACAAUAAACAAAGCCACUUUGCAACAAUGUAGGAGGCAGCUAGGAAAGACGUGGAGAGGGCACUUGGUGUGCUUCAAGCUCGUUGGGGAAUUGUGCGGAGCGCUGCAAUUAUGUGGGAAUCGAAAACAUUUUGGCAGCUGGUGACAUAUUGUGUUAUUUUGCACAAUAUGAUUGUCGAGGAUGAGGGUGAUGGUGUAGCCCAAACCCAUGAUUUCGAAGCACCCGGAGAACAAGUUGAAAUCCCGGAAGAUCAAGAUGCGUCUCAGCUUAUGAACUUUCUGCAAAUGCAUCAGAAUCUUCGAAAUCAGCAGGUGCACACGCGCACACGCGGCUACUCAAUGAUCUUGUGGAGCACAUGUGGAUCCACAAUAGCAACCAAGGAGGCAAUGCUUGAGUUUGGCUCUUUAAAAUAAUUUUUAUGUAAACACUAUGUAUGCUUGAUACCAACAAUUGUUAUUUGCAUGCGACAUUGUGUUGCAUGAUCAACGUGCAUGUAUUUGCAUAAAUUUGAGAGUCCGGAUUUAAAAUAUGCGAAAGCAUGAAAGAAAAUAUAAGGACCCGCCUGGAUGCGCCUGCGGGCGUUUGUGUGGCCGGAUUUGUCAAAGUCCGGCAGCGUAGAUGCUCUUAUAGAGCGCGGGGUAGCUUUUUAACUUGCCACCCAAAUAGUGGUGCACCGUCGUGCACUGAUCUUAACAGAUUAGGACACGCCCACAUACAUACAUAUACGUAGAUAUUAUAUAGAGAUAAUAAUCCAAACGGUCGAGUGUGCAGACAGUGCAAAGUCCCACGGCAUUUCGAUGAAUCCUGUGUCGGCAUCCAUCGCGUCCCGAAACGCCCACUCCAAAGCCAGUUGUGCAUGUGCGCAUGUAUGACAUGGAGGUGGUGCAGCCACAAGAAGAAGAAAAAGAAAGAAGAGCCCAGCCGCAGGCCGCAGCCGGGGACUAGACAAGAGGAACCUUUUUUGCUCUGCUCAAGUUUCUAUGCAACCCAGCUCCAUACUUACGGAUGAUGACGAAUCUGAUAAGAUGCAGCAGCAACUUGGAAUGGGGACGGAGUGUACUCGACGGAGGGAUGGAUACCCAUGCGCUGACGACCAUGCGUGCAUCCAGCAGCAAGGAAGAAGCAGUGUCCCGACUGUACGACGCACCAUGACAUGAUGGAUCGGCCAUGGCUUGUAAGACUAGCCAUAAUGGAGAGUAACAUACACUAGUAACAUACGCGUAUUCUUAAAUUAUGUUACUAUCUUUAUAGUGGGUAGUAACAUAAGUAUGGUAACAUGCAUAACUUGAUUUAUUAGGUUAUAGACUCACAUUGCAUUGGGACAUGUGAUGUUAUAAUAACUAGCUAAGUUAUUACUACUACCUUUCUCCUCAUUAACUCAUUGCCACAUAAGCAAAUUUGUUGAGUUGGACUCGAUGUUACUGCUGAAAUUACUUCCACUGUGGCUAGUCUCAGGUUAUACAUGCCCAGUUCAUUCAGGCGCAUCAUAGGCCAGGGCGGUUUCUCUGCAUAUGAAGGCUCAGUAUGGCAGUGUCACUGAUCGCGUUGUUAUCCUAACUAAUUUGUUUGAGCUCAUCCGGACGUUGUGUCUUUUUCUUUCAGCCCGCUCGCCUUGGACGUACCACUGGCGCAUGCAAUGCAACCACAGGCUAACUGCUUGAUCAAGCACUACGAAAAUACUCCAAAGCUCGAGUGCGUGCUGUGGGGAUAUUUUUUUUGUUUGUUUGUGAACAAGACCAGAACAGAUGUGGAUAGACAUCAUAUCGAAGGCAACAUACCCGCAUACACAAGCAGAUUACAACAAUCAAAUCGGUUGAGUGCGCAAAAUUAAAGGCGCAAGUCCCAUGACAAACCUCCCCAUGCAUCCGUCAGCGUCCAUGUAAGCAGUUUCCUUUGUUUUGCUCGAUCAAGUUGCGCAAGUUGCCGUCUCGUCGCGCCGCACGGGUUUCUUGGCCACACAGUGGAGUACAUACUACUCCUUUCGUUCCAUAUUUAUACUAAAUCAACGACGAGUAAUAUAAAACGGAGGAAGUACCACACAGGCUCGCAAACAUAGAUCUGGACCCAUGUUUUUGGUAGGCAUCGAUGGAUCACAUGAUGGAUCGAUCGGCCAUACUUGCACACAUUACGGUUACUGUCCAAUCGAUUGAGUGUGCAAAAGGUGCAAGCCCCAUGCCAUGCAUGCAUCCGUCAGCUCAGCGUACUACAUGGACGUAGCGCAUGCAGCUGUAUAGUGACAACUGACAACAGAAGAAGAUAUCGAUCGACCCAUACACACAUGACACAUUACAUAUGCAUACAACUAAUCAAGGCGUUCCCUUUGACGAAUUUGCUCAAGUCGCUUUUGGCAACACACGUUGCAUGGUGUUCGCUUUGUGUCCAUCCAAUCCUAGCUCGGCCGGAUAUGGUAUAUAUAUGUACAAAACCCCGCAAGUCGCACAAAUUUCUUCAUGGCUUGUUUAUUUCUUUUCUUCCUUCGUUCAAGUGGAUGGGCAUGCAAUGCGCCCAGCCACUUCGAGGUGGAGUGCACUAGUUGGGGGUCAAAGUUGUUGCCUUGAUUGGACCGAGCAUGCAAUGCAUGCCCGUCGACCUGCAGGCUGCGCCCUCGUCUCAGACCGUUUGGCUUUGCAUCUACAGCAAGCAAGCGAUUUAUAUAUGCGAAGGAGACUACGAUAUGUGGUGCAUACAAACUUGUUUGCCUCUGCCUGCAGCCAAUCGGAGCACAAGGGCUUGCAAGAGAAAGCUUUGUUUAUGCUAAGACGGGCGAGGCAUGGAUAGACAUGGGCCGACAGGUUAGUUAGACUGUGCGCCAACGAGUUAAUUAGAAAUUGUUAAUCACGCGCUCUCGACUUCGACUGCACUUCGAUAUGAACAUUGAACAAUCCUCCUGCACUGAUAAUGUUAAGGCUAAGCGCGCAAAAGUGCAAGUCCCGUGGCAUUUCGAACCCUCUGUUCGGCACAUACAUCACGGCCAGAAAAUACUCAUCAAAGCCGGCUCAUGAAUGGCAUGGACGUGCCGCGGCCACGAGAAGGAGGGAUAAGAAGCGGCCAGCCCAGCCGGAAAUCGAGUUACUACCACAGUGCCCGCAGUUUUGUUUUGGAAACGGCGAGCCGCACGGUGUUCGUUUUCUGUCCAGGCAUACCAGCUCAUAUAGUAUAGCCGUAUUGAUUUCUGUGGCUGCGCUACCAAGUUGCAGUGCCGGCAUAUAGGGCUGGAAGCUUUCUUGUCCGCAGCACGAUCGAUGAGCAGGAACUCCCGCUAGCUGUAGCAAGUGCCCUGUAGGAGCAUAUAGGCAUACAGCAAGGAGGAAGCUUGUCCUGUUCUCAACUGCACCACCUAGGACCUUGCUGCAUGCAUGCAUGCAUGAUAUUUCUUUUUCAGAGCACACAAAUUGUGUGCCUUAACUUUAUAGAAGGUAGAAGAUAAAUACAAUAAGCUCCCAUCAUAACCCCUCUCCCGCGUGAACCACUCUAGAAGCUUCGUCUGUGCAUCGAUGCCGGUCGGCUGCUCUAGAGCGGACGCGGCACGAUGGCCAUUGAUGUCGGUCAGAACCAGGCGAACGGANNNNNNNNNNNNNNNNNNNNNNNNNNNNNNNNNNNNNNNNNNNNNNNNNNNNNNNNNNNNNNNNNNNNNNNNNNNNNNNNNNNNNNNNNNNNNNNNNNNNNNNNNNNNNNNNNNNNNNNNNNNNNNNNNNNNNNNNNNNNNNNNNNNNNNNNNNNNNNNNNNNNNNNNNNNNNNNNNNNNNNNNNNNNNNNNNNNNNNNNNNNNNNNNNNNNNNNNNNNNNNNNNNNNNNNNNNNNNNNNNNNNNNNNNNNNNNNNNNNNNNNNNNNNNNNNNNNNNNNNNNNNNNNNNNNNNNNNNNNNNNNNNNNNNNNNNNNNNNNNNNNNNNNNNNNNNNNNNNNNNNNNNNNNNNNNNNNNNNNNNNNNNNNNNNNNNNNNNNNNNNNNNNNNNNNNNNNNNNNNNNNNNNNNNNNNNNNNNNNNNNNNNNNNNNNNNNCCCUGGCCUAUUUUAAGCAGGGUUACACUACCCUCCUCGCCGGAUGUCCUCUCCAAUCCAUAAACCCUCUCAUCCUCGCCAAGCCUGCUGCAAUGGAUGAGGAGUUCUAGCGACAACUAGAGUUCCUCCUCGGGCGAUCUCUCUAUGACCACGGUCCAGCACCGGCCGCACCACCUCGCUGCCGCGUUCCACCAACCCCUGUUGCUACUGCCACGUCCAAAUUGGAGGCCACGUCAAGGAGGAAGAGCCGUUGUCGUCAUCGCACAACAUGCUCGACUGCUUCGACCAGUCGAUGUGGUGCGACAAGUAGAGUGUGUCGGGACGCCGCCCCAUCGCAGAGAAGUAGGAGCCCUCCCCCAUGCUCAUGAAUGCGCGCAAGCAGCCCCCUGCAUUCCCUCGGACGCGGUGGCGGCAACACGUCGUCAUGCAACGCCCUGAUGGCGGCCUAAUCAGCGACGCAGUAGGCGGAGUGGUGGGACACGUCACAGGGUUUUGUUCCAAGACAUCCGCGUGGCGCCGGUGCUGCCUUAGCGGCCAACUGGUCAAGAUCGGCGUGGCCGUGUCGCUGCGUGUCGCCGUCGGCACGGGCAAGGGGAGGGGUGGCAGAGGAAGCCGAGCGACUGCGAAAUCAGGGUUGUCUUUUUUGUUUUGCGGAUGGCCAAUCAGGGUUGUCACGGCUCCUACGUACCCUUCCGUCGCUGCAAGGACCACUACAAAGAUGGAGCGGAUGACUACAAAGAUGGAGCGGAUGACGACGGCGCUCCAGCCGGCCAAGGGGCCACGAGCACGAGGUUACUGUCCGAUACCUUGCUGCUUUUUUGUUUUAGAAAAAUAGUUAGUUGAACGAACGAAAUAUUGUUUCAUUUAUGUAAAUAUAUCAAAUUUUUAUCUGGUUUGCAUGAAAAUGGUUUGUGUUGCAUGAAAUUUCCCUGUUUAGUUUAAUUUAUGUGCGGACGUUUUGGUGCUUGUGGUUAGAUGACCGACUCUUGUAUCCUUGUCUGCUAACUUGUACACCGGCCGUGCGUUCAUGAGAUGCCCUAAUUAAAUUGGGCUCUCAUCGGGAGGCUGCUCUUUAUUCACACCGUACUCUUGUAUCCUUGUCUGCUAACUUGUUACCGGGGAAGCAAGGCAAGCUGCAUGUUACCUGAGUACCGAACUGGAUUGUGCAUGCCGUGACCAACUACGUAGUACGUGGCCUGGAUAUGUAUACUGAUCUGGCGGCCAAGAUAAAGGCAAUCCACUUGGGUAACAAACAAUCCAGUCGGUUUGGUUCAUUGUGCAAAGGUGCAAGUCACACAUGCAUGAACAUACUUUUCGUGGAUCGUCCGUCAGCAACAAUGGGGCGUAGUGCAGUGACAACAGAAGAUCUGACGCAUGCACACAUUACGUCUACAUAAACUAAUGGAGGAGUUAUCUUUGCUGAAUAUUGCUCAAGUCGCUUUUGGCAAUAUACACAGCGUUUUUAAUAAUAAAAAUUAUACUUAUAAGUUAGGUCAGCCCAGGUGUGCGUGCAUGUUACCGGAGAAGCAAGGCAAGGCUGCAUGUUACCGAAGUACUGAACUGGAUUGUGCAUGGAUCUCAUCAUCUGAAGCCUGGAUAUGUAUACUGAUGCCUGGUCUAACAAACAAUCCAGCCGGUCCAGUCUGCAAAAAGUGCCAAAGUGCCUCCUAAUGUCCAUGUUUUUUAGUGGCUUAUUAUUCGUAACAAAAGUUUAACCAGGGAUGACGACCUGGCUAAACGUAGGCAUGUUUUUUUUUUCUUUUUGAAAAGAGGGUUACCCCGGCCUCUGCAUCAGAACGAUGCAUAUGGCCAUCUUAUUAAAAUAAAUAAAUAAGGUUGUAAUAAGGUCUCAAAGUCUCGAACUGAAACAAAAGCUCACUCAGAGCCAAAUAGGCUAGAAACACAAACUAGCCAAAACAGGGGCGCCACAACCGACUGGCUAAAGCAAGAUAGGUAAACUAAUUGCCUAUCCUAUUACAUGACCGCCAUCCAAACCGGUUGAAGGUAUCCCGAACUACCAUCUCCCAGCGGAUAUAUCCAGUAACCAAAUGCUCCCUGGCCUCCAUCGGAGUGAGUAGAGAUCACGAACGGAUCAAUGUCGUGGCUCUGAAGAUAACCUGCAUAAAAUGACUAAACGUAGGCAUGUAGAUGAUACUUCGUGUGUAUUUUGCAAUGAACCUGAAAGUAUUUAACACUUGUUCUUUGACUGUAUACUUGCACAACAGAUGCGGGUUGUGGUGGCAGAGAGUAUUGAUAUUCAUGUCCCCAGCUCCUUUUAUUCCUUGCUUUCUUUCUCGAAAGUUAAGAAACAUUUUGAUGCUGAAAAUUUGGUCACUUAUGCUGCCUUAUAGAGCUUAUGGCUUUUGCGAAUUGACUUUGUGUUCCAGGAGCGAAGAUGGCGAAGCAUUCGAUGUAUCCUCGAUCUGGUGGGCUCCACAAUUCGAUAGUGGAAAAUCCUAUGCUCAGACAAUCAAGUUGCGCUCCUGUUUCGCUGGUUAAGACUGCUCGAUCAUCUGCGAGGGGAGCUGCUUAGAAUAGCCUGGGUUGCUGAUCUUUAGGAGAAUUUGUCAGCAGGAGACAAUUUUGUUGCGCUGUAAUUUUUAACUCCAUUGCAUGUCCCCCUGAUCCAUGUGUUGCCUGGGAGGUUUUUCUAAACCCUGUAAUAAUCUGUUGCAGUUAGUUUCGAACCCUACCCCCACUCCUUCCCUAACCCUACCCCCACUCCCGCUCCCAUGCAGCGCUGCCGCGCCGCACCGGAACGUCCCCGCACCCUUCCUCCGGUACUCUCCAGUGCCCGAUCCCCUACCGCCGCCGCCGCCGCCGGGGGAAUCGCAGGCAAAGCCUGUGUGCUGCAGGGUGGCGGCGCGCUUCUCCUCGGCCAGCGCUUCGGUCAGGGUAGCGGUGGUCCACGCCGGCCAGACCUACGGCAGUGGCGCGGGGCGGCGAUGGCCAGAUUUGGCAUGCUGGUGGUGGCGUACAUCGACGGAUCCAGCGACGACGGCUUGGGUGCCCGAUCUGGGCCCAUAUGAGCUUCGGCGGGUCGAACAUGCGGAUGUCGUGUACCAUCCUGGCCGCAACACAAGGAAGUCGGGGGCUCCAGCCCUUGGCGUGGCGAUGGUGGCCACCUCUUUCGUCGGAGGUGGUCGGCCCGAGGCUGGGUGGUCAAAUCUCGAGAUCCGUCAUCUGGUCCAGGCUGCGAGUUGGGGAGACAUAGUUGCCGGUGAAAGCCGAGCCGAUGGUGGCGUUCUGCACCGAUACCUUGAUGAAGGCAUCGUCGUGUAACUACUGUCGACUCACUCGUGCUGCUUCGGGGGAAACCCUAGGAUCUGGUCUUCCAAAUCGAACGAUGGCGGUACUGCGGUGUCGUUUCUCUCUUGGGAGCAUCGUUUGUGGAGCAGCGGUGGAAGACAGAGGCCAGAGGCAGGAGGUGGAGCGGUUUCGUCUUGCACGGAGCUUCGGUGGAGAUGUCAACUCAUGCCUGGCCGACGGGUGCUACGUUGUGUCAUGCUUGGUCGGCAGGUUCUACGGACGACAGAUCUUCCAGAGUCUUCGCGUCUGGAUAGACGAGCGCAAGGCGGUGGUGUCGUUGAGCGUCAUGGUGGCGUCGACGGAUGUCCGGACUGGCAAGGAUGAUGCGGAUCUCUCUUCUGAAGAUGGGUCAGCGGUUCGAUGAUGAUGGUGGCUUCUAAAACGUGUGGAUAUGGUGUGCGCUUUAGAUCUGCUGCACCGGCGGUUAGUUCCGAUACGUUAUGUGGAUGGAUCGGUGACGACACCGGUUUUAGAUAUGGAAAGUGAGAGCAAUCCAUAUUAUCGAGUUUGUAGGUGUGAGUGGUGGCUUCAGAUGGCUUGAUGUAUGUUCUUGUCAGACCUUUAUUGAAUAAUUAAUAAGAAUGAAUGCAUGCAUCGAUUGAUGCAGAGGUAUAGGUUUAACCUCCUUUUCAGAAGAAGAAAAAAUGCUGCAGCUACUUUGGGCUGUGCUGAGAGCUGUUAACCGUCACUGUUUUGUGUUGCCUUGGCUUAAGAAAAAGUUGGGGCGGGGGAAACCCAUAUGUUGAACCUCCAUCAUCACUGACCUCCAUACACCCGUCAGCACAGCGUCCAUGGCCGUAGUGCAGCUGUGCAGUGAUAACAGAAGAUCGACUCAUCGACCCAUACACACAUUUACAAAGAAGCGGUUCCCUUUGCUGAAAUUGCUCAAGCUGCUUUUGGCAAUAUGCAGAGCGUUGUGCACUCGUUGUGUCCAGUCCACCCAAUCCAAGCUCGACCGUUGUGUCCACCCCUCAAGUUGCGGUCGCGUAGUCGCAUAAAUUUCUUGACAGUUGAUCAUUUUUUUUCUUUGUUCCAGUGGGUCGGCAUGUACGUACGCAGCAGCUUGGACAAGCUGCACGUUAAUCAGUACUACGACUAGUUCUCCUCCCCAACUGGACUGUGCACGUUGUAAGCCUGGAGACGCACACACUAAUCUCAAACACAACACACGAAGGCAAAUCCACAUGCAAACACCAGCAGGUAAUCCAUUGCCAAUGCACGCCAAGGGGUAACGACGAUCCAAUCGGAUCGGAUGAGUGUGAGAGUGCAGGCCAAAGUUCCCGCGCACCCGUCAGCGCACGCACGUGGUGCGGUGACAACUCAAGAUCGGCCCAUAGGCACGUUGUACAAUACAUACACAAACCAAUCAAGCAGCUCACUUUUCUUUUCUUUUGCAUUCUUUGCCCGAGGCAGCAGAGCUCGGCGUGGUGUUCGCGUUGUGUCCACCCAAUCCCACCCCGGCCGUACUGCCAUGCGAACCCCGCACAGAUAUCUUCACCGUUGUUUAUGUCCUCCUCUGUUCGAGUCGAGUGAGUCGUCAUGCAACUUGGAGCCGGAGUGGCUACACCGCCGGAUACGUUAACGAAAACAACAGCCCGGCAGGCGUGAUCGAGUCGCUGAGACUCAGAGGUCCGGUCAAACCAGCUAGAACUCACGAGCAUCGCAGCCGUCCAAUCCAUGCUUCAUCCGUGACCGUGAGGACCAGCGUGUGUGGUACGAUGUGAACGCCUCGGCGGUCAAAGAUGAGAGCUGUCGCCUUAAUUCGAUCUCGGCGGCCUGCGCCCUCGUUUCAGACCGCCUGGCUUGGCAUGCACACGAAGCAACCCAUUUAUAUAUACUUCUAUACAUCCGAUAACGCCGUAUGCAUGCAAAGACCGGAAGACUACGUAUGCGGCAUGUACAUACCACCACCACUUGUUUGUCCCGGUCAGCCGGCCGCAGCCAAUCACAGCGCAAGGGCCUGCACAAGAUAACAUUUCUUUUUCACAGCGCAGCCAAUCACAUCGACUGGCCAGUUGGGUAAACCUGUUUGUUAAUCACUCGACUGGAAAUUUGAAUAGAUAUCGUCCAUGGCUGCCCGCUCCUGACUUUGGGCGGCAAUCAUGGGAGGAACAUGCAUGGCGACGGUAUAAAAUAGAUUUCGAUUGGUGCGGGCGGGCGGGCGGGCAGGGAGGCAGUGAAGCAUCAAGCGUGCGUGCACAUGCACGCGCAUGUGAGGCCUCGGCAGGCCGUACCGUGACUGGCACGGCCGACCCGUCGCCGACCGCGCCGGGCCCGCCGCGACGGGGACGGCUCGACGCAGCGGGCCGCCGUCGCAUGCCGCUGGUAACGGACGGACGGAGGAACGGAGGAGGUGCAAGAAAGCGGCGACCCAACAACCCGCUUUGACCGUCGCAGCCUCUCUAGAAGAAAAGCAAACAGAGCCAUCUCAGUUAAGCCAGAGAGAGAGAGAGAGAGAGAGAGAGAGAGAGAGAGAGAGAGAUGAGAGGGAGGGGGGCGGUGCAGGUGGGCGGGGAUCCACUUGUGCGCGCUCACGUUAUCCUGGCGGUGUCGGUUUUUGUAACGCCACUUGCAGCCCAGCCCGGCUGCAUCUGCGCAGAGGGAGAGAGGGGGGGAUUGAGAGGGACCGGAGAGUAAAAUAAGGAAAAGUCGGGCAGGCGGAAAAGCGCAAGUUGCCUGUCACGCUCGCUCCCUCCCCUCCCGACGUACCAGUACACGGCCGCGGUACCAGUCACGUCCUCCUUUCUCUCCCUUUGGUCACUUCUCCGUCCCGUGCAAGUGGCCGGCCCGUUCCGUCCCGUCCCGUCCCGUCCCGUCCCGCACGCAAACGCACGCCCCCUACUUGUACUUGAUUCAUAUCAAUGGCAGGUUCUUGUUUUGACAUCCUCAAAGAAAUGGCACAUGCAUGCAUGUAUCUGUGGUUCGGUGUGUGACAAAGACCGCAAUGCGUGAGGAGAUAAUCUUGAUUCAGUCCGGCGAGAAUAUGACGGCUUUGGUGUGUUGUGCCUCGUUCAACAUUUUGUAAAUUUGACCAAAUGUUAGAAGCCAAAAUGGGACGAGAACACAAACACACGCAUUCCACAAUGGAACGAGUAUAUACAGAGAUGUUGAUGAGCCUUGCAUCGGUCGAACCUAGUUUUUACUCCUCAAUUUCUGUCAAAUCUUAUCAUCGUCUUACCCAGAACAAACAAAGGGGAACCAACGAAAACUAGAGCUAGGAACACUGCUAGGGGGUGUCUCGCGAUAAGGAGAAACAGCGAGGGGCCGGGUGGGAAAGCGCACCGACCGGUCCGAACCGACCCACCGACCCCUCGCCUUCACGCCAGAAAGAACAAGAGAAAAAUAAUCGACCGCCACCACCCGCGCACCACCACCACCAUGGAUUUCGAUUCAUUAAUCGGAAAAUCGGAGCGCGAUUUUACCGAAACGCCCCUGCGGCCGAGCCGGGCUCGAGUUGACCGCCGGAGGGAGGCACGGGCCGGCGAUUGGAUCGAGCG
RNAcentral lists this long non-coding RNA (12466 nucleotides) under Triticum aestivum (bread wheat). Its description in RNAcentral is "long non-coding RNA (TAES_LNC020110)". The record is from RNAcentral. Lineage: Eukaryota; Viridiplantae; Streptophyta; Magnoliopsida; Poales; Poaceae.